This 138-nucleotide microRNA precursor is filed under the name Pteropus vampyrus (large flying fox). RNAcentral describes it as "miRNA (ENSPVAG00000025211.1)". The stretch from base 51 to 122 matches the Rfam family "mir-153 microRNA precursor family". The record is from RNAcentral. Lineage: Eukaryota; Metazoa; Chordata; Mammalia; Chiroptera; Pteropodidae.
UCUCUGCCCUUCCCUCUCCCCUUCUUCCCUUCUCUCUCUCUUUCACAGCUGCCAGUGUCAUUUUUGUGAUCUGCAGCUAGUAUUCUCACUCCAGUUGCAUAGUCACAAAAGUGAUCAUUGGCAGGUGUGGCCGCUGCA